Myodes glareolus (Bank vole) is the source of this 1585-nucleotide non-coding RNA. NCBI's taxonomy places the organism in Eukaryota, Metazoa, Chordata, Mammalia, Rodentia, Cricetidae. The record is from RefSeq and is a predicted model, not a curated record.
ACCCUCCGCGGCCCCCUCCCGACCCUCGGGCCCCUAGGACUCCCCUCCGGCCCUCCCCUAGGAAAGGGCCCCUCGCCAAGUCUCCGCCUUCCUGUCCUCCCCCUGUCAAUGUCACUGUCCAGCGCCCACCGCCUUCGGAACGCCACUCCACCCGGGCCUUCUUCUCCAGGGACCCCCUGGGCCCCACCCCCAGGACCUCCCACCUCUGGAAGCCCUGCGUUUGCUUUCCCCCAUCCGCUUGGCGGCUAGUCUCCACGCCCACCUGACUGGACCCGGAAGCUCCAAGAAGUUAGCAGGGGAUUUCAGCAAUUAGGGGUGGGUAUAAGGGAGAGCCUGGGCGAGGAAAGGGAGAAGGGGGAAAUGUCCAGAAGGAAUAGAGGAGGGUGAGCAGGGUAUUCGAGGAUGGAGGACGAAGGGAAGUGUUGGCAUGUAGAGGUGUGUAUUGUGGGCAUGUAUGAGGAGUAUGCAUAGGCCUUAUAGUAUGGGGUAUGGGAGAGUGGUGCGCGUAUGUGUUGUGUGGUGUGGGGAACGGUAUGUAUUCCGAGAGUGCAGUGUAGUGUGUGCGGUGUCCAGACUUGCAGUGCGGGGAAGUGUGGUGUGUGUGUGUUAGUGGUGUAUGUGCAGAAGGUGUGUUACCUUGAGAUGUGUGAAGAGUAUUGUAGGUGCUUGGGGGUUGUGAAUAGGGUGUGCGAGAGAACUAGCUGGAGAUUUCUCUCCGAGAAUCCAGCCACGGAGUAAGGCCAGCAAGGCCGGGAUGACGUCUGGGGGAGAACCUCAGGUGAGUUCAGCUUUGGGUCCAGUCCCAUCUCCAGAUCUGGCAGAAAAUUUCCUCACACGCAGGUGAACGAAUUUGACCUGCGCUCAAGUGCGCAAGGGAGAGUGUUGUGGUAGCUCAAAUCCGUACAGGGACCCCUGAGGCCUCCGGCAGCCCCGCCCUGGCCCGCAGUCCCGGGUGUGGGUGAUUCAGGCCGACUGCGUAGCUCCGAACCGCGGCUUGCGGUGGCUGUGCCUGAGGCUGGGGUGGAGAAGCGGGGUCCAGGCGUGGGGAGCGGGACGCGGUGGAGAGAACGCGCCUGCGCGUCGACCUUAUGGAAGGUUCUGGUCCGUCAAAGGCCCAGGGACUUUCCUAUUUAUUGCUAAAGGACCUCCCCACAAAACCAAGAACUGUAUUGCCUGGGGAAGCUGCGCCCAUGUGACCGAGGCAGCACCGGGGUUCUCGCCCACCCUCUUAGAAACCACUUGCUGGUGGGAGUAUGGAGGCCUUCCAAAGACUCCCGGACGUUUGCGUGGGUUUCAAUUCGGCCCAUAGCUUCAGAAAGAGCGAACCAGCCUCUGUGUAUUUUUAGCAGGCGGAGCAGAAUUUGAAACAGCAUCCUACUGAUCCUGCGCCUGGUAAAUGAUGACUUGCCAGAAAGCAAAGACGCAACCCUGCCUCGGUAGGAAGUCUGAAUCAGAAGAGUCACACCAAGAAACAUCAUCCUGAAGGAAUCUUCAGAGGUUGAAGUCUUGAUGAAGCUGCCCAUGCCCAGGUGAAAAUAAGUUAGAUAAACCUAUGACUAAAUAAAUUAUAUUAAAAUAUCGGUAA